This 254-nucleotide ribosomal RNA is filed under the name uncultured bacterium. RNAcentral's name for it is "partial 16S ribosomal RNA". It matches the Rfam family "Bacterial small subunit ribosomal RNA", at positions 524 to 776 of the family's 1533-position model. The record is from RNAcentral.
UACGUAGGGGGCGAGCGUUGUCCGGAUUUAUUGGGCGUAAAGAGCUCGUAGGCGGUUUGGCAAGUCGGGUGUGAAAACUCCGGGCUCAACUCAGAGACGCCACUCGAUACUGCUAUGACUCGAGUCCGGUAGGGGAGUGCGGAAUUCCUGGUGUAGCGGUGAAAUGCGCAGAUAUCAGGAGGAACACCGGUGGCGAAGGCGGCACUCUGGGCCGGAACUGACGCUGAGGAGCGAAAGCGUGGGGAGCAAACAGG